GACGAACGCUGGCGGCGUGCUUAACACAUGCAAGUCGAACGGAAAGACCCUGCUUUUGUGGGGUGCUCGAGUGGCGAACGGGUGAGUAACACGUGAGUAACCUGCCCUUGACUUUGGGAUAACUUCAGGAAACUGGGGCUAAUACCGGAUAGGAGCUCCUGCUGCAUGGUGGGGGUUGGAAAGUUUCGGCGGUUGGGGAUGGACUCGCGGCUUAUCAGCUUGUUGGUGGGGUAGUGGCUUACCAAGGCUUUGACGGGUAGCCGGCCUGAGAGGGUGACCGGCCACAUUGGGACUGGGAUACGGCCCAGACUCCUACGGGAGGCAGCAGUGGGGAAUAUUGCACAAUGGGCGGAAGCCUGAUGCAGCCACGCCGCGUGCGGGAUGACGGCCUUCGGGUUGUAAACCGCCUUCGCCUGUGACGAAGCGUGAGUGACGGUAAUGGGUAAAGAAGCACCGGCUAACUACGUG
Molecule: ribosomal RNA, 468 nt
Filed under: uncultured bacterium
Lineage: Bacteria
Description: partial 16S ribosomal RNA
Rfam family: Bacterial small subunit ribosomal RNA
Source: RNAcentral